RNAcentral lists this ribosomal RNA (464 nucleotides) under uncultured bacterium. RNAcentral describes it as "bacterial SSU rRNA". It matches the Rfam family "Bacterial small subunit ribosomal RNA", at positions 335 to 798 of the family's 1533-position model. The record is from RNAcentral.
ACUCCUACGGGAGGCAGCAGUGAGAUAUUGGUCAAUGGAGGGAACUCUGAACCAGCCAUCCCGCGUGUAGGAAGACGGCCUUAUGGGUUGUAAACUACUUUUAUACAGGAAGAAACGUACCCUCGUGAGGGUGCCUGACGGUACUGUAGGAAUAAGCACCGGCUAACUCCGUGCCAGCAGCCGCGGUAAUACGGAGGGUGCGAGCGUUAUCCGGAUUUAUUGGGUUUAAGGGUCCGUAGGCGGGUUAAUAAGUCAGUGGUGAAAUCCCAUCGCUUAACGAUGGAACUGCCAUUGAUACUGUUAGUCUUGAAUGAGGGUGCAGUGGUUGGAAUGUGUAGUGUAGCGGUGAAAUGCAUAGAUAUUACACAGAACACCGAUUGCGAAGGCAGAUCACUAACCCUAAAUUGACGCUGAGGGACGAAAGCGUGGGGGAGCGAACAGGAUUAGAUACCCUGUAGACUGUC